UAGGGAAUUUUCGUUCAAUGGGCGCAAGCCUGAACGAGCGAUGCCGCGUGAGUGAAGAAGGCCUUCGGUCGUAAAGCUCUGUUGCGGGGGAAAAAGGCAGCAUCAGGAAAUGGGUGCUGACUGAUGGUGCCCCGCCAGAAAGUCNCGGCUAACUACGUGCC
This 161-nucleotide ribosomal RNA is filed under the name uncultured bacterium. RNAcentral describes it as "partial 16S ribosomal RNA". It matches the Rfam family "Bacterial small subunit ribosomal RNA", at positions 355 to 509 of the family's 1533-position model. The record is from RNAcentral.